CUUCAUCAACGAGAUAGUGGCAAAGUUUAAAGUCCUCUUUUUCAGGACAAUGUGUCGGUGUGUUGGAAAAUUGUGAAAGUGUUGGUACUAAGGGGUCAAAUCGAGAAAGGGCAGGAGGUCGGGAGAAGAGAGUUGGAAAAGGGAUCCUAUGCACGUACAUAGUGCUAACCCCAUGGUAGUUUUAGCUGGUGUCGCCUGUUUUUUGUUUCAAUGAAGGCGAAGCUGUUGACAGACCAACAAUCGACUUGGGAAUUUUGUCACUAAAGUGCCAUCGCCAUCGUAACCACCUUAAAAACUUUGUCACAACAACAUCGGCCGAGAGCUCUCGAUUUUCAAACAGCAAUCACCCAGGAUGCUUUGAUGAUGCCUGAAACAGAAACUGGAAUACACAGGUAUACAUGAAAAACACUAUGGCCUGGACCUGCGAUGCGAAGGAGAACCGGAUCAGGCCCGGGGCUUUGAGCUCAGCAGAGAGACAGGAUAUGCCGGGACAUGCCGGAGCAAUGUGUGUGUCCAACAUUGACCAUUAAACGGCGACUGAGCCGUACUUAAUUACUUCAGAGAUUUUCCGCUUUUUGGAAACAAGCUGACAGUACUUUUCUUAAGCCUAAGCAUGAUACUUCAAGGUUAAUAUAGCUCUUAUCAUUUGAGGCUAGGUCAUCCCUUAAAAUAAACAGACUUACAAAAAUUGUUACACCUGUCCA
This 704-nucleotide small RNA is filed under the name Drosophila ananassae. Its description in RNAcentral is "GF27162". The record is from RNAcentral. Lineage: Eukaryota; Metazoa; Arthropoda; Insecta; Diptera; Drosophilidae.